Molecule: ribosomal RNA, 1386 nt
Filed under: uncultured bacterium
Lineage: Bacteria
Description: bacterial SSU rRNA
Rfam family: Bacterial small subunit ribosomal RNA
Source: RNAcentral
AGAGUUUGAUCCUGGCUCAGGAUGAACGCUGGCGGCGUGCCUAAUACAUGCAAGUCGAACGCUUCACUUCCGUGAAGAGUGGCGAACGGGUGAGUAAUACAUACGUAACCUGGCAUCUACAGGGGGAUAACUGAUGGAAACGUCAGCUAAGACCGCAUAGGUGCAGAGAUCGCAUGAACUCUAUAUGAAAAGUGCUACGGGACUGGUAGAUGAUGGACUUCUGGCGCAUUAACUUGUUGGUAGGGUAACGGCCCACCAAGGCGACCAUGCGUACCCCACCUGAGAGGGUGACCGGCCACGCUGGGACUGAGACACGGCCCACACUCCUACCGGAGGCAGCAGAAGGGAAUUUUCGGCAAUGGGGGAAACCCUGACCGAGCAACGCCGCGUGAAGGAAGAAGUAAUUCGUGAUGUAAAAUUAUGUCAUAGAGGAAGAACGGUGGAUAUAGGGAAUGAUAUACAAGUGACGGUACUAUAUAAGAAAGCCACGGCUAACUACGUGCCAGCAGCCGUCAGUAAUACGUAGGAGGCGAUUCUUUAUCCUUAAUUAUUGGGAGGAAAGAGGGAGCAGGUGGCAAUAUGGGUCUGUGGUGAAAGAUCGAAGCUUAACUUCGGUAAGCCAUGGAAACCGUAGAGGUAGAGAGCAUCAGAGGAUCGAGUAAUUCCAUGUGUAGCGGUGAAAUGCGUAGAUAGAUGGAGGAACACCAGUGGAGAAGGCGGCGGUCUGGGGUGCAGCUGACGCUCAGUCCCGAAAGCGUGGGGAGCAAAUAGGAUUAGAUACCCUAGUACUCCACGCCGUAAACGAUGAGUGUUAAGUGUUGGGGGUCAGACCUCAGUGCUGGGAGUUACCGCAAUAAGCACUCCGCCUGAGUAGUACGUUCGCAAGAAUGAAACUCAAAGGAAUUGACGGGGGCCCGCACAAGCGGUGGAGCAUGUGGUUUAAUUCGAAGCAACGCGAAGAACCUUACCAGGUCUUGACAUGGAGAUAAAGGCCCUGGAGACAGGGAGAUAGAUAUAUCUCACACAGGUGGUGCAUGGUUGUCGUCAGCUCUUGUCGUGAGAUGUUGGGUUAAGUCCCGCAACGAGCGCAACCCCUGUUGCCAGUUGCCAGCAUUAGGUUGGGGACUCUGGCGAGACUGCCUCUGCAAGGAGGAGGAAGGCGGGGAUGACGUCAAAUCAUCAUGCCCCUUAUGACCUGGGCUACACACGUGUUACAAUGGACGGAUCAGAGGGAGGCGAAGCCGUGAGGUGGAGCGAAACCCAGAAACCCGUUCACAGUUCGGAGUGCAGUCUGCAACUCGACUGCACGAAGCUGGAAUCGCUAGUAACCGCGAAUCAGCAUGUCGCGGUGAAUACGUUCUCGGGCCUUGCACACACCGCCCGUCA